RNAcentral lists this non-coding RNA (19 nucleotides) under Sclerotinia sclerotiorum. The record is from RNAcentral. Lineage: Eukaryota; Fungi; Ascomycota; Leotiomycetes; Helotiales; Sclerotiniaceae.
UGCGCUGAAUCUUUGUACG